CUUUAGGGUUAACGCCCAGAAGAGCCGCAGUGAAUAGGCCCAAGCGACUGUUUAUCAAAAACACAGGUCUCUGCUAAACCGUAAGGUGAUGUAUAGGGGCUGACGCCUGCCCGGUGCUGGAAGGUUAAGAGGAGUGGUUAGCUUCUGCGAAGCUACGAAUCGAAGCCCCAGUAAACGGCGGCCGUAACUAUAACGGUCCUAAGGUAGCGAAAUUCCUUGUCGGGUAAGUUCCGACCCGCACGAAAGGCGUAACGAUUUGGGCACUGUCUCAACGAGAGACUCGGUGAAAUCAUAGUACCUGUGAAGAUGCAGGUUACCCGCGACAGGACGGAAAGACCCCGUGGAGCUUUACUGUAGCCUGAUAUUGAAAUUCGGCACAGCUUGUACAGGAUAGGUAGGAGCCUUUGAAACGUGAGCGCUAGCUUACGUGGAGGCGCUGGUGGGAUACUACCCUAGCUGUGUUGGCUUUCUAACCCGCACCACUUAUCGUGGUGGGAGACAGUGUCA
This 507-nucleotide ribosomal RNA is filed under the name Staphylococcus aureus. Its description in RNAcentral is "partial 23S ribosomal RNA". It matches the Rfam family "Bacterial large subunit ribosomal RNA", at positions 1753 to 2259 of the family's 2925-position model. Lineage: Bacteria; Bacillati; Bacillota; Bacilli; Caryophanales; Staphylococcaceae. The record is from RNAcentral.